RNAcentral lists this ribosomal RNA (422 nucleotides) under uncultured bacterium. RNAcentral describes it as "bacterial SSU rRNA". It matches the Rfam family "Bacterial small subunit ribosomal RNA", at positions 355 to 774 of the family's 1533-position model. The record is from RNAcentral.
UGAGGAAUAUUGGUCAAUGGGGGCAACCCUGAACCAGCCAAGUCGCGUGAAGGAUGAAGGUCUUAUGGAUUGUAAACUUCUUUUAUACAGGAAUAAAUUGGGGGACGUGUCCCCUUUUGCAUGUACUGUAUGAAUAAGGAUCGGCUAACUCCGUGCCAGCAGCCGCGGUAAUACGGAGGAUCCGAGCGUUAUCCGGAUUUAUUGGGUUUAAAGGAUGCGCAGGCGGGAUGUUAAGUCGGCGGUGAAAUUUUGCAGCUCAACUGUAAAAGUGCCUUCGAUACUGGCCUCCUUGAGUGUGGAUGAAGUAGGCGGAAUUUGUGGUGUAGCGGUGAAAUGCUUAGAUAUCACGAGGAACUCCGAUUGCUCAGGCAGCUUACUAAGCCACAACUGACGCUCAUGCACGAAGGCGUGGGGAUCAAACA